RNAcentral lists this ribosomal RNA (863 nucleotides) under uncultured bacterium. RNAcentral describes it as "bacterial SSU rRNA". It matches the Rfam family "Bacterial small subunit ribosomal RNA", at positions 37 to 896 of the family's 1533-position model. The record is from RNAcentral.
UAGCGGGAGGCUUAACACAUGCAAGUCGAGGGGCAACAUGGAGUAGCAAUAUUCUGAUGGCGACCGGCGCACGGGUGAGUAACGCGUAUGCAACCUACCCUGUACAGGGGGAUAGCCCGGAGAAAUUCGGAUUAAUACCCCAUAAAGAUAUUUUGAGGCAUCUUAGGAUAUUUAAAGUUUCGGCGGUACGGGAUGGGCAUGCGUAACAUUAGCUAGUUGGUAGGGUAACGGCCUACCAAGGCGACGAUGUUUAGGGGUCCUGAGAGGGUGAUCCCCCACACUGGUACUGAGACACGGACCAGACUCCUACGGGAGGCAGCAGUGAGGAAUAUUGGUCAAUGGACGGAAGUCUGAACCAGCCAUCCCGCGUGCAGGAAGAAGGCGCUAUGCGUUGUAAACUGCUUUUCCGAGGGAAGAAAACCCCCGACGUGUCGGGGCUUGUCGGUACCUUGGGAAUAAGCAUCGGCUAACUCCGUGCCAGCAGCCGCGGUAAUACGGAGGAUGCGAGCGUUAUCCGGAUUUAUUGGGUUUAAAGGGUGCGUAGGCGGACUGAUAAGUCAGUGGUGAAAACCUGCAGCUUAACUGUAGAACUGCCAUUGAUACUGUCAGACUUGAGUAUGGUCAAGGUAGGCGGAAUGUGUAAUGUAGCGGUGAAAUGCUUAGAUAUUACACAGAACACCGAUUGCGAAGGCAGCUUGCUGGGCCAUUACUGACGCUGAUGCACGAAAGCGUGGGGAGCGAACAGGAUUAGAUACCCUGGUAGUCCACGCCGUAAACGAUGAUCACUCGCUGUUGGCGAUACACAGUCAGCGGCUAAGCAAAAGCAUUAAGUGAUCCACCUGGGGAGUACGGGCGCAAGGCUG